GUUAUUAUUAUUGUUUGCUAAAUAAAGCUGUGGACAUAUUUCCCCAUAUCCUCUAGUAUGUGCGUUAUUGGGUUAGGUUAUGGGGUGGUCGUCCUGGAUUCCGACUGCCCAAAAUGGCGACUAUACACCUGUCAUGACACCCCUAAAUCAGACAGACACCUCUCGCCUUGGGAAGAACACAAUCACUUUAUUAAGGCAGCAGCUAAUGUAUAUAAGAGCUUGGAUUUAUGUAAGC
Molecule: non-coding RNA, 235 nt
Organism: Pelobates cultripes (western spadefoot toad)
Lineage: Eukaryota; Metazoa; Chordata; Amphibia; Anura; Pelobatidae
Source: the annotation of a GenBank genome assembly